CCGCACAAGCGGUGAGCAUGUGGUUUAAUCGAAGCAACGCGCAGAACUUACCCGGGCUAGAAAAGCGAGGAAUCUGGCGGAAACGUUGGAGUGCCCUUCGGGGAACCUCGAUCCAGGUGCUGCAUGGCUGUCGUCAGCUCGUGUCGUGAGAUGUUGGGUUAAGUCCCGCAACGAGCGCAACCCUAUCCUUAGUUGCUACUAGUUCGGCUAAGCACUCUAAGGAGACUGCCGGGUCAACCCGGAGGAAGGUGGGGAUGACGUCAAGUCCUCAUGGCCCUUAUGUCCGGGGCUACACACGUGCUACAAUGGGCAGUACAAAGCGCAGCGAAGCCGCGAGGUGGAGCCAAUCGCAAAAAGCUGUCCUCAGUACGGAUUGCAGUCUGCAACUCGACUGCAUGAAGUCGGAAUCGCUAGUAAUCCCUGAUCAGCAGGCAGGGGUGAAUACGUUCCCGGGCCUU
This 458-nucleotide ribosomal RNA is filed under the name uncultured Myxococcales bacterium. Its description in RNAcentral is "bacterial SSU rRNA". It matches the Rfam family "Bacterial small subunit ribosomal RNA", at positions 921 to 1382 of the family's 1533-position model. The record is from RNAcentral. Lineage: Bacteria; Pseudomonadati; Myxococcota; Myxococcia; Myxococcales.